CCCUUCGCAACCCCUGCUUUCAGUUGCCAUCGGGUUAUGCCGGGAACUCUGGAGGGACUGCCCAGGAUAACGGGGAGGAAGGUGGGGAUGACGUCAAGUCAGCAUGGCCUUUAUGCCUGGGGCUACACACGUGUAACAAUGGCCGGUACAAAGGGCUGCAAACCCGUGAGGGGGAGCCAAUCCCAGAAAACCGGCCUCAGUUCAGAUUGAGGUCUGCAACUCGACCUCAUGAAGGCGGAAUCGCUAGUAAUCGCGGAUCAGCACGCCGCGGUGAAUACGUUCCCGGGCCUUGUACACACCGCCCGUCACACCACGAAAGCCUGUUGUACCUGAAGUCGCCCAAGCCAACCGCAAGGAGGCAGGCGCCCACGGUAUGGCCGGUGAUUGGGGUGAAGUCGUAACAAGGUAAAGGG
Molecule: ribosomal RNA, 413 nt
Filed under: uncultured bacterium
Lineage: Bacteria
Description: bacterial SSU rRNA
Rfam family: Bacterial small subunit ribosomal RNA
Source: RNAcentral